RNAcentral lists this transfer RNA (76 nucleotides) under Chloroflexota bacterium. RNAcentral's name for it is "tRNA-Arg". It matches the Rfam family "tRNA". From Rfam's summary of the family: Transfer RNA (tRNA) molecules are approximately 80 nucleotides in length. The record is from RNAcentral. Lineage: Bacteria; Bacillati; Chloroflexota.
GCCCGCGUAGCUCAGUGGAUAGAGCGCGACUCUCCUAAGGUCGGCGUCGGGGGUUCGAGUCCCUCCGCGGGCACCA